ACUCGAGUCUUUGACGCAGUUGCGCCCGAAGCCAUUAGGUUGAGGGCACGCCUGCCUGGGUGUCACAUGUGGUCACCACUAAUGCAAUUGUGCAUUGAGGUGUAAGUUGGCUUCCCUCGAGAAAGUCCUCGUGGUUGGUCGAAAACUCAGUUAACGGUACAGUCACCUGCGAUUAAUGGUGGAUGAGAAACUCUCGAGACCAGUCAUUGCUGGGGUACUCUGGGCGUUCUAAUUGAUUGACUCCACCGGGGCCUUUGGAAAUUACAAUGAAGGACUUAUUGGAACCUCCAGGCAGGGGGGGCUACCCGCUGAAUUUAAACAUAUCAAUAAACGGAAGAAAAAAAACUAACAAGGAUUCCCUUAAUAACGGCCAACGAACCGGGAACAGCCCACCCUGAAAAUCCAUCGCCUUUGGUGGUCCAAUUGGAAUCGA
This 433-nucleotide ribosomal RNA is filed under the name Vigna oblongifolia var. parviflora. Its description in RNAcentral is "eukaryotic LSU rRNA". The stretch from base 282 to 433 matches the Rfam family "Eukaryotic large subunit ribosomal RNA", at positions 1 to 152 of the family's 3401-position model. Lineage: Eukaryota; Viridiplantae; Streptophyta; Magnoliopsida; Fabales; Fabaceae. The record is from RNAcentral.